GGCUAAUGCGCAAACAGACCUGGCAUCCUUGGUUCUCAUACUUACACUUUUUAAUCAUGGCGUCAACUUGCACUUCAGCUUCGGGAAAAGUUAAUUCUAAUACGAGCGCGGUGCAACUCGUCAUCGUUUUUUACGAUUGCCUGGAAACGAUCAUCGUGGGGAACAUAUCUCUCCCUCACUUCAACUAGUUUUCGGAUUUGAAUUUCUUGCUGUAUGUACACUAGAAACACCUGCCACGAAUACCCAUUCUUCAUCUGAAUUACUGUUGGCGGAAUAAAAAAAGUUCGGUAUUGCCUCAUCCGUCCAACGAUAGUGGUACACUUGAUCGUUUUAAUGUGCAUUAACCAGUGACAUACCCUCAACUCGGCUGACGAAUAAUUGUUUCGGCAUAUAACAUGUUUUACUUCGGAAUCCAUAAACGAAAACAAGUGUCCACCGAAACAAUCUUGCAGUUGUACAUCAUAACAGUUUGGGUAUAGUUUACCUAGACCGUUUCACUGGUUUUGGAUCGCAUCACAGAGACGGAUCAUAGUCGAUGAUGAAUAUUUCGUACUUUUUAUCAUGUUUGCAUAGACAUAGUACUUUCGCUUGAUUCUUGUGGUGAUCCUAUACGGGCUAUGUCAAAUAAAGCGGACUAUCUAUUGUCAUCCAGUGCACCAGAGGUUUUCCUUCCGGCUGAAUUUGAUUCCCAAGGAUUUAUUCUAAGUAGGUUUAAGCUUGGUCGAUUUGAGUUGCUAUGAACUGAACUGGCGGAACCGUGCAAUUUCAACAGGCCGACCCGAGUUCGAUUGGAAGCAUCACGAUUUGGAUACGGAUGACGGUGGUUACCAGCGGUGCUCUGACGAGAUGUCUUUUCCAUGGGGUUGGUAAUUAUUACCACAUUGUGGUGGUGGUUAUAGGUUGUGUGAUACCAUUUCCACAAGUUCGUGAUUUUAUAACUAUUUCCACAAGUUCGUUCGGCAACCAAUCGCUGUGAUCGUCUGUGAUUGGCGCUUUGGACGUUGCAAACGAAUCAGGAUGGUGCACUCUAAUUCGACUAUUCAAGAAUUUUAAAGGUAUAGUAGGAGCAUGAGGUUGUACUGUUUUAGAAUGUUGCUGUUAAGAGAUCGUUAAUAAACUAUGUUUUAAAAGCUAUAUAGGAAAUUGUAACAUGCGGGAGCAAGCGAAUAUAUUGUCUAACAUUUUAAGGGAUAGAUAGCGGCGUUUUCAGGAAGCAGUAGGCAUCGCUUAAACUUCAAUUAUGUAUGUUGGUUGUAUGUUGGUAUUUCUUUUGAAAAUGUUAAAUCAUCGAAGCUAAAAUGUUUAAAUAAAAUGCAACCUCCAAUUAA
Molecule: long non-coding RNA, 1328 nt
Organism: Topomyia yanbarensis
Lineage: Eukaryota; Metazoa; Arthropoda; Insecta; Diptera; Culicidae
Exons: 2
Source: RefSeq, a predicted model, not a curated record